GUCGGAUUCAUAGAUGCAUUUCUAUUAGGAAGUGUUCUCUCUUGGUUUAUACCUUUAAUGAAAAAGGAUUCACAAUUUUUUUAUAAAUUUAAUUCUUUCUUAAAAGUGUUUAUAGCCAUAUUUGAAGAAAGUGAUUAAGAAAGAGUAGUAGAAACCAAGUAUCAUGGACAUACAUAGAUAUUAUAAUAAAUAUCUAUAUGAUUAGGUAGGAGUAGGUAAAAAAAGAUAAAAGUAG
Molecule: long non-coding RNA, 235 nt
Filed under: Physcomitrium patens
Lineage: Eukaryota; Viridiplantae; Streptophyta; Bryopsida; Funariales; Funariaceae
Description: long non-coding RNA (PPAT_LNC001337)
Source: RNAcentral